CCUGAACGCUGGCGGCGUGGCUAAGACAUGCAAGUCGCACGGUGUAGCGUAGCAAUACGCUGCACAGUGGCGAACGGGUGAGUAAUGAAUCGCUAAUGUGCCCCGGACUUUGGGAUAGCUAUCCGAAAGGAUAGGUAAUACCAGAUGAUAUGCAGCUGUCGCAUGACAGUUGCCUCAAAGGUCCGCCGGUCUGGGAGCAGGCGAUCGUAUCAGCUAGUUGGUGAGGUAACGGCUCACCAAGGCGAUGACGCGUAGCCGGACUGAGAGGUUGGCCGGCCACAUUGGGACUGAGACACUGCCCAGACUCCUACGGGGGCUGCAGUAACGAAUCUUCCGCAAUGGGCGAAAGCCUGACGGAGCGACGCCGCGUGUAGGAGAAGCCCUUC
Molecule: ribosomal RNA, 386 nt
Filed under: uncultured bacterium
Lineage: Bacteria
Description: bacterial SSU rRNA
Rfam family: Bacterial small subunit ribosomal RNA
Source: RNAcentral